This 513-nucleotide ribosomal RNA is filed under the name uncultured bacterium. Its description in RNAcentral is "partial 16S ribosomal RNA". It matches the Rfam family "Bacterial small subunit ribosomal RNA", at positions 29 to 523 of the family's 1533-position model. The record is from RNAcentral.
AACGAACGCUGGCGGCAUGCCUAACACAUGCAAGUCGAGCGAACAGAUGAAGUGCUUGCACUUCUGACGUUAGCGGCGAACGGGUGAGUAACACGUAAGGAAUCUACCUAUAAGCGGGGGAUAACAUUCGGAAACGGGUGCUAAUACCGCAUAAUAUCUUCUUCCGCAUGGAAGAAGAUUGAAAGACGGCUCUGCUGUCACUUAUAGAUGACCUUGCGGUGCAUUAGUUAGUUGGUGGGGUAAUGGCCUACCAAGACGAUGAUGCAUAGCCGGCCUGAGAGGGUGAUCGGCCACAUUGGGACUGAGACACGGCCCAAACUCCUACGGGAGGCAGCAGUAGGGAAUCUUCCGCAAUGGGCGAAAGCCUGACGGAGCAAUGCCGCGUGAGUGAAGAAGGCCUUCGGGUCGUAAAACUCUGUUAUAAGAGAAGAACAAAUUGUAGAGUAACUGCUACAGUCUUGACGGUAUCUUAUCAGAAAGCCACGGCUAACUACGUGCCAGCAGCCGCAGUAA